Molecule: long non-coding RNA, 280 nt
Filed under: Vigna radiata
Lineage: Eukaryota; Viridiplantae; Streptophyta; Magnoliopsida; Fabales; Fabaceae
Description: long non-coding RNA (VRAD_LNC015408)
Source: RNAcentral
GUGAUUUUGGUUUAGGGGUAGUGCAUCGUUAAAAAUUAGGGUGUUGAGGGUGUGAAAGUUGUUAUACAGGUUGCUCGUCGGGGAGUUCGAUGAAUUACAGGUCCUAGGUCACUUAUGAGAGGAAAAGGAUAGGGAUUUCGAGUUACUAUGGUUGAGGGUGUGUUUAGAGUGUUGAGACAGUGUAGAGGGGUCAUUUGGGGCUUGUUGAGAGCACUUUGUUGGUAGGAUGGAGGAAUCUUAAAAACCUGAGUUGGCACAUCCCUGAUCAUAGAGCAGCCCU